GGUGUGUCAUCAAUCUUUGAUAAAGUGGACUUACAUAAGACCAGGGCUAGAGAAAAAAGUCUUGGAGAGUGUGCUUCUGUCUCCUUGUUUGUGGAUUUUUAUUUUUUAAAAUCCAUGAUGUGUGAAUGCUCUAUGCAUUUUUAUUUGUCAUUACUUAGAAUAAUGAUGUCCUAUUUACAUGUGAGUGGAAAAUACUGUGUACUUUCCCUGUAUGUACAUGUACAUAUAUAUUCUAAGGUCAACCUUUUUCAUCAAGUCUGUGAUAAUUAUUUUUUUAUGGUCACAAAAGUUAAGCCUGCCAUCUUUGAUUUGUUUAUUGCGUGCAAUCAGAAAUGUUUAUGGAAUGUGCUUUUGUUCUGUUCUAGCUGUUUUUCACCGGAAAAGAAUGUGAUUAUAUACACCAAGAGUAGUAUGUAUUUACAAAGCUUUUUCACAUUCACCAUUACUGUACUUGAAUUCUGAUCUGCUGCUACAAAGAAAUUUAUAUAAUUUUAUUUUUAGGAUUUACAUCCUGUAGUUCUGUAUAGUAUUUAAAUGCAAAAGAUACUUUCUAUUAAAUUUCAGUUUAAGUUUAAAACUGGUACAUGUACUUAAAACAAUUUUUGAUGAAUUCAUAUUUGACAGGAAAAUGUAAUUUUUAGAGAAAAGAAUUCUAUCAAUAUAGAACUGUCAUAUGACAUCCUGUUUAUGGUUAAGAUAGACUGAUGUAUCCCUUUAAAACUUAUAUUUAAUGCUUUUAUUUAUUGAUGCAUUAGUAAUAGCAUAUUGAAAAAUCAUUUUCACUUUGUAAGACCUUUCCUAUAUUUAAGUGCAAUAUCAGUACAUCAAGUCACAAAGUGUGACCAGUUGUGUUUGUUGGGGCUGACUGGAAAACAUGCACUUUUAAUUUUAACAAGUUUUAGUGUUAGGUUGUUGGUCAUGAAUUACAAUUGCAUCUUAUUCAAAUUAAGUAUAAUUUAAAAGCAGAUCAUUUUGCCUGACAUGGCCUGAAAACAUUAGCUAUUAAGAUAUAUCUGAGGGGGCACAUUAUUGCAGCAACCUGUGAUUGUGAAAAGAAUCACUUAAAAUAGAAUUACUAGCAUGCAUAUAUAUGCAUUUAAAUUUAAAUAAAUUAUGUACGGUAGUCAAAUUCACUAAACAUGUUAAAAUUAUGUAUUGAUAAACAUUUCUAAGGAAUGUUAAGGGGUCUCUGAUUUUCAGAGUUCUCAACAUGGAAUAUACAUAUUAGAAUUUCUAUUUACAUAUGUGCCAUAAAAAUUACUAAAGUUAUUUUUAGUGUACAGUGUAUUUUCUUAAUAUUACUAAUAUAUUAAUCAACCUUAAUACUAUAACAAAUUUCAGCCAUAAAUUAAUUAGGACAAUGAUAAUUUUAUUUUGACCUUGUGUGUAACUUUUUAUAACUGGUCGUGAGGAAAUGUUUUCAUAAUGGGUUGCUUUUUUCUAAUAAUAUACAUGUAACACAAAACUUUUUUUAAAAAAAUUAUUAUGCAAUUCUUUCUCAUUUAAACAUCUCCAUCUGGAAUUGCAGUAAAUCAUUUUUUUCCAAGAUUAAAACAACCUCAACAUUUGUUUAACAAAAUGGAAUAAAAGCUUGCAUCUUCUCAAUUUUCAACAUAAUAUGUCCAAAAUAGCAUUGAAAUGCUAUUAGAAGCUUGUAGGAAGCUUCUAUUUAUCAGUGUUUGAAAUUUUAUGUGCUGUGGCAUUUUUAUUGUUAAUUUUUUUGGACAGUGUUGUACUUGUCUUUGUGAGCUGCAUCUACAUCUAUUUAAAAUUAUGUUGAUUUGAAUUAAGUUACCAGACUUGACACUUUAAUUUGAGAACAAGCUUUCUGUUUCCAAUAUGCACCAGAGUUGAAACCAAGCCAUCAGUAUUGUACAUGAUGUUGUUUGAAUUUUCUCAAAUGUCAUUUGCAUUUUAGGCAAAUUUUGUGACUGUAUACAUGUGGUAUAGUGUUUUUCAUUUUCCCCUUUUUGAUGGUAACAAUCCAUUUUUCAUACAAGUUUUCUGCUCAGCAUAACAGAAUUCAAUGAGUACACAUGACAGCCCCUGCAUUUGAAUUAUGCAAUGUUUACAAGCAGACAAUCAGCCAUAUUUUUUGUUUUGUAUUUUAAAUCACCCACCACAUCACAAUGGCUUAAUAUUUUUGACCUCAGGUACACAUUCUGUGAGUGGAUGUAUUCUAGUGAUGAUGUUAGCAGUUUUCACAGCUAGAUUACUUGUUUAAUACACCAUUUAUGUAUUAUAAAACCUUUACUCAAAUGACAAUGUUUCAAUCAGUAUAAAUCAGCAUUGUGCCAUCAUGUUAACUUUUAAACAAAUUUAAGAGCCAAAUUUUUACUCUGUUUACCUAAGUUGUACUUAUACAAAUAUAAAGUACAUGGUUUGUAAGGAAAUCUUAAUAUUGAGGAAAAUAUCAGACAAGUUUUAAAAACAACGAAAUAUGAAUAGGUUAUUGGAUUCAUUUGAAUAUUUAUGUUUAAAAAAUAAAAAGAAAAGAAAUAAAACAUUCAAGUUUUGAUUGUGCAUGUAAAUGUUUAAAAAAUCUAAAGUUCUUUUGUGUUUCUGCUUCUCAUCAUUGAGCUGUUUUCUUAACUGGUGGUGGGGAUGCAUGUGCAAGAAUAAUCAGGAUUUGGGUCUUCAGGGUUUUUAUGUUGUCUUAAAGAUUUGUGUUUGAUAUUUGAAUUUAUACAAUUGCCAUUCCUAUAUUUUCAUUCCAAAGAGUCCCAAGAAUAUUUGUGAAGGAAAUUGGGCACUUGCAAAUAAUUUUUUAUAAAAAAUUGUAAUUAUUGCUAAUACAUGUAUCAUUCUUGUUAUUGUUUGGAGAGGGUUGUGGGGUGGUUUUAAUUUGUAGUUUGUUACAUUGUUGGUGUUUCUUUUGUUUUGGCAAGACAACUGAGCUACUUUCAGUUUUAUUGAAUUUAUACAUAUUCAUGAUGAGUAAGUGCUAAAAAAAUUGAUGAACUUGUAGCAGAGCAACAGCAUUUAAGUUUACCUCCUGUUCAUAUGCAUGACUUGCAGUUCUUUGUGUAUUUUACAAUUUGUCAUUAAUUUUUCGCUAAUAUUAAUAGAUUUAGAACAAUCCUGCUGUUUUCUGUUGAUUUUGAAGAUUUUUAUGCAUAUUUUUUAUGUAGAUAGGGCAUAAACUAAGUAUUUAAGAGCAUGAACAUAGAUAAAAACUCUAAAAGAAACUCAAAUGACAAUGUAAAAAAAAUCUUAAUUUUAUUUCUGAUCAAUAUGUUGUGUAUUUUGUGUAUUCAUCACAGGUAAAACACUUUUGUUACAUGUUUUUCAUGGUGAUACUCAUUCAGGCAAUCCAUUGUCCUAUUUAAGGUUAAGAUCUAGUUACCAGUACUAUACAUUUUAACUAAAAAAAAAAACAACAAUAAUUUUGCUCUUAGAUCUAUUAAGACAUCAUACACUUGCAUGCAUGUUGUUAAAACUUACAUGACCACAGUAGAUGUUGUUCAUGUAUAAAUAAAAUGCAGGAAAAUAUGCAUUGAAGAUCAGAUGUUUGUAAGAUAUUACCUGGUACUCAAAACCUAGCUGUUUCUAUAUUUUUUGUUCAAAUUACAUACACAGUAAUUGCAAAAUUUAAUGACCUAUGUAUAUGUUGUAAUAAUAUUGUGUUUUUGUGCAAAAGAAAAAAAAAUUCCUAAAAACUCUGUUUUUUACACAAUUACAUAUAUACAAAAUUAAAUUUUUCUUGCAAAAACAUUUUUAAAUCCAGACAGUAUUUUCUAUAAAAAUCUAGUCUACAAAAUUGUAUUUCAUAAUGUUUUUAUUUGUAACAAAUCAUUCAGAAAUGCACCUGUUUCAGAUCUUGGAAACAAAUGAUGAGAUCAUUACUUGUACUCUUCAUUUUGACAAGGAGUUUCAAACCUUCAAUUGUUUAAAUAAAUUAAAAUUUCCAGUUGGUUUCCAGUUUGUGCUGGAUUGAUUUGAUCUCUUAUUAAACCCAAUAUUCAGUAUUGUAGACUGAUGUUUGUGUUGUUGAACUUCCAUACUAACCAUAUUUUUCUAUAUGAAUUUUACCCUCAGUAUCUUAAAACCUUUGGAUUUUUCUCAGUUCAUCAACUGAGAUACUUUCAAUUGUACAUGAUGUAUGCCUUUGUAACCAAAAAAGAAAAACCUAUUGACCAUAUAAAAAGAUGAAUAUGUACAAUGUACUGAAAAGUUCAAAAAUUCACGAAGAAUCCUUACAUAUCUGUAUAGUGUAAAUAUGUACCACAUCUCUUAAAGAGGAACCAUUUGUCACAAACCAUGUUAUAUUGUUAGUAAUGACCUUCCAUGUCAGUAAUUUGUUUUGUUUAGGAUUAAUUGUCAUGGCAUUGUGUGUAUAAACUUAUACAACAUAUUCAAUUUAUAUUGAAGGUUUUUUGUACUUAAAAAUUCCAAAUAUAAGAUCCAUCCAAGAUUUGUAAGCUUCUAUUUUUUUUGUGUCGAUUCUGUCAUAACUAUCAAUCAUAGAAACAGAUAAACUGAAGUAGACAUAAUUAGUAUAGAAAAAUACUUUGUUUAGUUGUGUACUCGCUACUGCAACUGCAGUUCAUAAGAAUUUUCAUUAUGAUGAGACAAAGAGUCAUUAUUUAUUGUUUUGUUGAUUGUGCUGUAAUCCUAAUUAUAUUGAUUUGAGCCAUGAUGCUCUUGUGUGAAAUUUUGAGGAAAUAAACUAUUUUGUUUUUUAAA
Molecule: long non-coding RNA, 4686 nt
Organism: Saccostrea cuccullata (small rock oyster)
Lineage: Eukaryota; Metazoa; Mollusca; Bivalvia; Ostreida; Ostreidae
Exons: 2
Source: RefSeq, a predicted model, not a curated record